RNAcentral lists this transfer RNA (69 nucleotides) under Desmophyllum pertusum. RNAcentral describes it as "tRNA-Gln". The record is from RNAcentral. Lineage: Eukaryota; Metazoa; Cnidaria; Anthozoa; Scleractinia; Caryophylliidae.
GCGGUGGCCUAAUGGUUAGCGCACUGGACUCUGGAUCGAGCGGUCUGGGUUCGCGCCCUGGCCUGGGUA